UACGUAGGUGACAAGCGUUGUCCGGAUUUACUGGGCGUAAAGAGCGCGCAGGCGGUCGUUCAAGUCGAGUGUGAAAGCCCCCGGCUCAACUGGGGAGGGUCAUUCGAUACUGAUCGACUCGAAGGCAGGAGAGGGAAGUGGAAUUCCCGGUGUAGUGGUGAAAUGCGUAGAUAUCGGGAGGAACACCAGUGGCGAAGGCGACUUCCUGGCCUGUUCUUGACGCUGAGGCGCGAAAGCUAGGGUAGCAAAUGGG
This 253-nucleotide ribosomal RNA is filed under the name uncultured bacterium. Its description in RNAcentral is "partial 16S ribosomal RNA". It matches the Rfam family "Bacterial small subunit ribosomal RNA", at positions 524 to 776 of the family's 1533-position model. The record is from RNAcentral.